This 288-nucleotide unclassified non-coding RNA is filed under the name Xanthomonas albilineans. RNAcentral describes it as "partial 16S-23S ribosomal RNA intergenic spacer". The stretch from base 5 to 77 matches the Rfam family "tRNA". Lineage: Bacteria; Pseudomonadati; Pseudomonadota; Gammaproteobacteria; Lysobacterales; Lysobacteraceae. The record is from RNAcentral.
CUUUGGGUCUUAGCUCAGGUGGUUAGAGCGCACCCCUGAUAAGGGUGAGGUCGGUGGUUCGAGUCCUCCCAGACCCACCACUCUGAAUGUAUCGCACACGAAGAAUUUGAAUGAUUCGGCGCUGAGGCCGGGUCGUGUUCUUUAAUAAUUAGUGAUGUAGCGAACGUUUGAGAACUAAUACUCUCGACGUGUCGUUGUGGCUAAGGCGGGGACUUCGAGUCCCUAAAAUUGAGUCGUUAUAGUUCGCGUCCGGGCUUUGUACCCCUGGGCUGAAUAUACCUUGAGGCA